AACAGUUAAUAACAUGUUAUAUUACUACGUUGUUAGUCAAAAAGUUAUUUUCAAACGUAAAACAAAACACGAAGGGUAUUACAAAAAUAAAAUAUAAUAAAAUAUAAUAUAAUAAAAUAAGCAAAUAAUUAAUCAAAUAAUUAAUAAAAUAAAUAAGUAAAUAAAUAAGUAAAUAAAUAAGUAAAUAAAUAAGUAAAUAAAUGGGUAAAGAAUUAAGUUAAUAAGUAAAUACAAGUAAGAACGAAUAAAACGAAUAAAAUGCUUCAAUAACAGCGGAGAGACAUCUAUUGAGGACUCUUUAAGCUAAAAUAUUUUGUAAUAUAAUGUUUUAAAUUGACUUAAUUUACAAUCCACGUUGGAAAAAAAAAAAAAAAAAAAAAAAAAAACACAGCACAGCACAGUACAACGCAACACAAUACAAUACAACACAGUACAAUGCUAAACAAUACAAUAGUUUUGUAUGGUACAAAAUAAAUAACUACCUGAUUUUUUUCGAAAACUACCUGAUUUUUUUUAAAAACUACCUGAUUUUUUUUUGAAAGAAGAACAUAUACAGAAAAGGGUAUAAAAUAAAGUGCAUCGAUAUAUGUUUAUAUACAAAAAAUACGUAAAAAAAACGAACAAAAUACUUUCCGAAUUUUAAAAAAUGAAAAUAACAAAAAAACAAGGUAUAAUUAUGCUUUUUAUGUAUAGCAUUUCAACUACAGCUAUUGUUUAUCAAAAUUAUAUAUUUAUUUCAACAAUUUUAAAAAAUUUUAGAGUUUUUGAAUGGCUUUGUAAUAAAAAUAAAAUCGGACUUGAUAAAAAUGAUUAUAUUUUAUGUAUAGAACAAGAAAAUUAUAUUCAAUUUUUAUUAGUUGUUGGAUUUAUAGUACAAUUUAUAUCAGGUUCUAUAGGAAGUAUAUUAAUCAGUUUAUUUUCAAAAAAAAAAUAUAUUUCUAAAAUUUCUUUUAUUUUUUUAUUAAUCGGAUGGAUGGUUUUAAGUAUAACUUUAUAUUAUUCGAAAAUUUUUGCUGAUGAAUACAUUAAUAAAGACUUUGACUAUUUAAAAAAAGAUGAUCUUCAACAAUCAAUAAACAAGAAAUUUAAUUUAAUUACAUUUUUUUUAAAUGUAGCUUUUAUAUUUUUUGGUAUUGGAUCUGAUAAUUCCUAUUUACCAAUUAUAUAUUACGUUAAUGAAACAUAUCCAGUACAAAAUGUUACUUCUAUAGGAGACUCUAAAAAUAUUGAUACAAAUAAAAGUAGCGAUACAAAUAAAAGUAGCGAUACAAAUAAAAGUGGUUAUACAAAUAAAAGUGGUUAUACAAAUAAAAGUAGCGAUACAAAUAAAAGUGGUUAUACAAAUAAAAGUGGUUAUACAAAUAAAAGUGGUUAUACAAAUAAAAGAAAUAAUUUUGAAAAUACCAUUAUCGAUGUAUACAACAACAGUAAUGAUAAAAAUGAAAGUAAUAACAUAUUAUAUAAAAUUGAUAAAUCGAUAAAUAAUAGUUUUCCCACAAGAGACUCAACACAUAACGAUACAACUGAAAACAAAAAAAUCAAAAAAAUUUUUAAAAAUGUAAACUUCACAAAACUGAAAGAACAAAUUACUUCUCCAUUUUAUUUAUUUAUAACAGCUGAAUUUUUUUUAUUAACUUUUAGUAUUUGUUUUUUUAUGUUUUCUUUAUUUGAAAUAUAUGAUAAUAAAAACUUCGAAAAUACAUUAACUUUAUUUUCUUUUAUUUUACCAUGUAGUUUUCUCGUUACCUUAGUUUUUGGAAUAAUAGCAGAUGUUAUAAAUAUAUAUAAUUUUAUAAGUUUUAAUUUAAUAUUAGGUAUAAUAGUUUUUACAUCUAUUUUAUUUUAUUAUAAAACACAUAAUGUUACCAUAGGAUAUAUAUCUUUAAUUAUUUAUUUUAUUCAUCAAAGUUUUUUUGCAAAUCACAUGUAUAUGUAUAUGUCAACCAUCUUUAAAUCAAAAAAUUUCGAAUUUCUAAUUGCCAUUAUUAAUAUUUUUGCAUCUUUUGCUUUUAUAUUAGCAUAUAAAAUACAUGAGUAUAUAACACAACAGAACAAUAUUAGCCUAUACUCAAAAAAGACUAUGUUCGUUAUUCUUAUUUGUUAUAUUAUUGUUUUUUUUAUUCAUAUAUUUUAUAUUAAAAAAAAAGGACUCAAAUUGCGCUCAUAUGAAAAUCAACAGAGUAAUACUCUCGUAGUAAAGGACCAACAGUACAUGUAUCUAUAAUAAUGUGAAGGAUAUGCAGAAAGAAAAAAAA
Long non-coding RNA from Piliocolobus tephrosceles (Ugandan red Colobus), 2255 nucleotides. The record is from Ensembl. NCBI's taxonomy places the organism in Eukaryota, Metazoa, Chordata, Mammalia, Primates, Cercopithecidae.